CCGUUUUGGUAUGGUCGAUCGUGGCGCCACGUAGCGGCAUCUUCUUCAAAUGUUCGAUUGUUCAUUGGAAGAAGGGACAGUGCGCCCUGACUCCGCGGUACGGGCUGAACUUUAAAAGCACGCUUGGUCUUUGCAACCCUUCCGUAUUUGCUUCUUCGUCGCAUGUACGGUGUCUCGUUUCAAAACGAUGAAUGAAAGGGUACACGUACGCGCGCGAAAAUUACCUUACGCGAUUCUUAAUGUUUAUUGGACGCAAUUAAACGAAUUAGUUGCGACCACUUGCAAAAUUUUAUCUUAAUAAUACCGUGAAUAAAAUUACAAACAUUAAUAUUUCGAUGCUUUAAUUAAUCAUCAGUCAGUUUUUUUUAUUUCUUUCAAUUUAUAUCGAGAAUUUGAAGAACGAGAAGGAUAAUCGCGAACGAUAAAAAUAAAAAAAAAACACUCGGAAUAGAUAAUAUUAUAUUUGUAUACGACGAA
Long non-coding RNA from Polistes canadensis, 477 nucleotides. RefSeq lists it as uncharacterized. Lineage: Eukaryota; Metazoa; Arthropoda; Insecta; Hymenoptera; Vespidae. The transcript has 2 exons. The record is from RefSeq and is a predicted model, not a curated record.